UGGGGAAUCUUGCACAAUGGGGGAAACCCUGAUGCAGCGACGCCGCGUGAACGAUGAAGCCCUUCGGGGUGUAAAGUUCUUUCGGCAGGAACGAUAAUGACGGUACCUGAAGAAGAAGCUGCGGCUAACUACGUGCCAGCAGCCGCGGUAAUACGUAGGCAGCAAACGUUGUUCGGAGUUACUGGGCGUAAAGAGUACGUAGGCGGUUUGCCAAGUUUGGUGUGAAAUCUCCUGGCUUAACUGGGAGGGUGCGCCGAAUACUGGCAGACUUGAGUAUUGGAGAGGAAAGCGGAAUUCCUGGUGUAGCGGUGAAAUGCGUAGAGAUCGGGAGGAACAUCCGUGGCGAAGGCGGCUCUCUGGACCAGCACUGACGUUGAGGCACGAAAGCGUGGGGAGCAAACAGGAUUAGAUACCCCCGUAGUCCCUGAGCGGGCUGGCAAGGCGCAU
This 447-nucleotide ribosomal RNA is filed under the name uncultured bacterium. Its description in RNAcentral is "bacterial SSU rRNA". It matches the Rfam family "Bacterial small subunit ribosomal RNA", at positions 355 to 825 of the family's 1533-position model. The record is from RNAcentral.